GGCCUUACAAUACUGACACAAACUUCUUUACUCUAAGAGGACAUUGCUGCACAUUGCUAAACACAUUUCUCUAAAAGGUAAGUCCUCUGAGAACAGGGCUUAUGUCCUCCUUUGUGUUCUUAGAGUACCUUAUGGGCAAACUGAACCACUCUUGUCCUCCUGCAAGAAGAUGUUACUCACUGAUGGGCAUUUGGGUUGCUUCCAAGUCUUUGCUGUUGUGAAUAGUGCUGCAAUAAACAUACAUGUGCAUGUGUCUUUAUAGUAGCAUGAUUUAUAAUCCUUUGGGUAUAUACCCAGUAAUGGGAUUGCUGGGUCAAAUGGUAUUUCUGGUUCUAGAUCCUUGAGGAGUCGCCACACUGUCUUCUGCAAUGGUUAACUUAUUUACACUCCCACCAGCAGUGUAAAAGCGUUCCUAUUUCUCCACAUCCUCUCCAGCAUCUGUUGUUUCCUGACUUUUUAAUGAGCACCAUUCUAACUGGCAUGAGAUUGUGUCAAAUUGUGGUUUUGAUUUGCAUUUCUCUGAUGACCAGUGAUGUUGCGCUUUUUUUCAUGUUUAUUGGCCACAUAAAUGUCUUCUUUCGAGAAGUGUCUGUCCACAUUCUUUGCCCACUUUUUGAUGGGGUUGUUUUUUUCUUGUAAAUUUGUUUAAGUUCUUUGUAGAUUCUAGAUAUUAACCCUUGGUCAGAUGGAUAGAUUGCAAAACUUUUCUCCCAUUCUGCAGGUCGCCUGUUCACUCUGAUGAUGGUUUCUUUUGCUGUGCAGAAGCUCUUUAGUUUAAUUAGAUCCCACAUGUCAAUUUUGGCUUUUGUUGCCACUGCUUUGGUGUUUUAGUCAUGAAGUCCUUGCCUAUGCCUAUGUCCUGAAUGGUAUGGCCUAGGUUUUCUUCCAGGGUUUUUAUGGUUUUAGGUCUUACAUUAAGUCUUUAAUCCAUCUUGAGUCUUUAAUCCCUUCCUCAUUGCUUGUUUUUGUCAGGUUUGUCAAAGAUCAGAUGGUUGUAUAUCCCAGCCCGCGGGAUCGUCACUGCAGGCCCUGGAAGAGGGGGUGGGAAUUUGGGGAACAAGAGAUACGAGAAAUGGAGACAAGACAGUGCUCUGAACAAGAGAUACGAGAAAUGGAGACAAGACAGUGCUCUGAUCAAGUCUCUCUUUUAAUAAAUGGUAAUGCAGUGCCUUAUAUACACUUGGAGGGAAGGGGGUUUAGGCCAAGGCGAAAAUGAUCUCAUCAGCGGAGGGUCAAUGGCC
RNAcentral lists this long non-coding RNA (1241 nucleotides) under Papio anubis (olive baboon). RNAcentral's name for it is "lncRNA (ENSPANG00000039051.1)". Lineage: Eukaryota; Metazoa; Chordata; Mammalia; Primates; Cercopithecidae. The record is from RNAcentral.